GUGAACGCUGGCGGUAGGCCUAACACAUGCAAGUCGAACGGCAGCACAGUAAGAGCUUGCUCUUACGGGUGGCGAGUGGCGGACGGGUGAGGAAUACAUCGGAAUCUACUUUUUCGUGGGGGAUAACGUAGGGAAACUUACGCUAAUACCGCAUACGACCUACGGGUGAAAGCAGGGGAUCUUCGGACCUUGCGCGAUUGAAUGAGCCGAUGUCGGAUUAGCUAGUUGGCGGGGUAAAGGCCCACCAAGGCGACGAUCCGUGGCUGGUCUGAGAGGAUGAUCAGCCACACUGGAACUGAGACACGGUCCAGACUCCUACGGGAGGCAGCAGUGGGGAAUAUUGGACAAUGGGCGCAAGCCUGAUCCAGCCAUACCGCGUGGGUGAAGAAGGCCUUCGGGUUGUAAAGCCCUUUUGUUGGGAAAGAAAAGCAGCAGGUUAAUACCCCGCUGUUCUGACGGUACCCAAAGAAUAAGCACCGGCUAACUUCGUG
This 491-nucleotide ribosomal RNA is filed under the name uncultured bacterium. RNAcentral describes it as "partial 16S ribosomal RNA". It matches the Rfam family "Bacterial small subunit ribosomal RNA", at positions 29 to 507 of the family's 1533-position model. The record is from RNAcentral.